GGAAGACAUGUCACGGAAGAUACGUCAUCUGGUUGCGCGUGGUCUUCUUCACUUUCGCUUGCUGCCGGGAGAGGAGUGGGUGUGCUUUCCAAGCCAGGUGCCUUCAUCAAGGAUUAUAAAAACCCAUUUGAACUGGGAUGGGACUCUAUUUAGCCUCAAGCACAUGAACCAUGAGCACUACAAAAGAAGAACAAAGAGUUGCUAUAGUGGCCGUGAUGCAACUAGAAUACAUCCAAGGGAUUAAACAUGGCUUCAAAGAUCUAGAAGACUUACUCCCAGCAGAUGAGGAAUUUAGAUACAGCCAUGGACAAUUACACUUUUCAUUUCUAUAAGGUUACUGUUUAGCCCAGCGUUUAAUAUGAAAAGAUGGUAACACUACUAAGAGUACAACAUUACUGUAUUUUUAUGUCAACUGCGGCUGUUUUCUUAGUCUUCAUAUUACAACCAGAGCCCACUGAUAUUGUUCAGAAUUCAUUUUCAUCGUCUUAUAUACAUUUGCUGUAGUAUCAACUGCUCAAGAGACUCAUCUGCCUGCCAGUAAUUCUGGGCAUACCUCUCAGGUGGGACACUAAUGAAAGUGAAAAUGAAAUAGUUCAGUGAUGAUAUAAAAGAGCAAGAUAGAGUCAACGGUGAAAACAGAGGCAGAAAGACAGGAGUGCUCAUCCUGAAUUCAAAAUGAAGUCAACCUUAAUUUUAGUUUCUAAAAGCUUAUGCUUCAUACUUGAAGUUUUACUUAACGUUAGCUUGAACAGUUCAAAUUUA
Molecule: long non-coding RNA, 762 nt
Filed under: Gallus gallus (chicken)
Lineage: Eukaryota; Metazoa; Chordata; Aves; Galliformes; Phasianidae
Description: lncRNA (ENSGALG00010014146.1)
Source: RNAcentral